AGAGUUUGAUCAUGGCUCAGAUUGAACGCUGGCGGCAGGCCUAACACAUGCAAGUCGAACGGUAGCAGGAUGUGCUUGCACAUCGCUGACGAGUGGCGGACGGGUGAGUAAUGCUUGGGAACUUGCCUUUGCGAGGGGGAUAACAGUUGGAAACGACUGCUAAUACCGCAUAAUGUCUACGGACCAAGCGGGGCUUAGGCUCCGGCGCAGAGAGAGGCCCAAGUGAGAUUAGCUAGUUGGUGGGGUAAAGGCUCACCAAGGCAACGAUCUCUAGCUGUUCUGAGAGGAAGAUCAGCCACACUGGGACUGAGACACGGCCCAGACUCCUACGGGAGGCAGCAGUGGGGAAUAUUGCACAAUGGGGGAAACCCUGAUGCAGCCAUGCCGCGUGUGUGAAGAAGGCCUUCGGGUUGUAAAGCACUUUCAGUUGUGAGGAAAAGUUAGUAGUUAAUACCUGCUAGCCGUGACGUUAACAACAGAAGAAGCACCGGCUAACUCCGUGCCAGCAGCCGCGGUAAUACGGAGGGUGCGAGCGUUAAUCGGAAUUACUGGGCGUAAAGCGCACGCAGGCGGUUUGUUAAGCUAGAUGUGAAAGCCCCGGGCUCAACCUGGGAUGGUCAUUUAGAACUGGCAGACUAGAGUCUUGGAGA
Molecule: ribosomal RNA, 650 nt
Filed under: uncultured bacterium
Lineage: Bacteria
Description: bacterial SSU rRNA
Rfam family: Bacterial small subunit ribosomal RNA
Source: RNAcentral